Long non-coding RNA from Ahaetulla prasina, 962 nucleotides. RefSeq lists it as uncharacterized. The record is from RefSeq and is a predicted model, not a curated record. Lineage: Eukaryota; Metazoa; Chordata; Lepidosauria; Squamata; Colubridae. The transcript is spliced from 6 exons.
ACAAGAAACGGCCUCGGCGACUUGCCGCACUUUUUCUUUUGCAGCCGAGCAGCAGCCGGUGCGGCAGCUCCUUCCGGUUUCCGGCCCCUUUGGCAAAUUAGGUUCUUCCUGAAGGGGCGGGGCUUAUCCGAUCCUGGAGCUCUCUUCUUCAAGCCUCCUGUACAUUCUGUUCUGUUGGAAGAAAACAUCCAUUUGGGUUCAGUUCCAAGUGGGGAAAAAGACACUGGAAACAUGGAGGCUGCUUGGAAAGAUGGUUUAAUGGUGGCCAGGAUCACAUGGCUUGAGUUCCUGAACAGAAAAAUGAGAUGCUGUGCGCCCCUGGCUUUUUCCUUUCUCUGAGCUUUGAAUUUCCUGGGGCACAAGAAGAGUAUCCUGAUUGGUUGUCAGACUCCCAGGGGGUGGAGUUUUUAGCUAGCCUUGCUGGCUGAUGUAAUCUUCCCAGGUGCCAUGUGAUGAACUGAAUAGGGGAUGUGUGAACUACUGUUAAAAUCCUUGUAGACUGAAGUUGAUUCACUAAGAAAUGCAAAUAUUUAUUAUGGAUAUCAAGCCCAAGCCACAGCAGCCUCAGAGGGAAGGAGUUGCCAGGUCUCAGUCAUAGAAGAGAGAUAGCACCUGCUAUCAUGAGAAGAAAUUCCUGAAGCAGAAGAACGGAAUGACUGUGCUGUGAAUGCUGUUUUGUUAAUAAAGCACCUGUCUGUGCUUUUCCCCUUUCAUAUUUUAAGAAGGCUACAUUUUAUCUGCAUGUGUUUCUCAUCUAUCAGUGCAUCACACUGAAUUCAGAUCCCUCCAUGUCACACUGAUGAGAGGUUCUCCCCUGCCUGGAGCUGACACGGAAGAUCUGAGCUCCAUUCCAGCACCCUGCUGAAGGAGUUCCCUUCUACGCGCAGAGGGGAGCUGACAUCCUUCGGCAUGCCUCUCUUUCAACCGGCCCCUAGAGAGGAGAGCGAGUGGAAAUUCAAAGA